Molecule: ribosomal RNA, 497 nt
Filed under: uncultured bacterium
Lineage: Bacteria
Description: partial 16S ribosomal RNA
Rfam family: Bacterial small subunit ribosomal RNA
Source: RNAcentral
GAUGAACGCUGGCGGCGUGCCUAAUACAUGCAAGUCGAGCGAACAGAUGAGGAGCUUGCUCCCCUGACGUUAGCGGCGGGCGGGUGAGUAACACGUGGAUAACCUACCUAUAAGACUGGGAUAACUUCGGGAAACCGGAGCUAAUACCGGAUAAUAUAUUGAACCGCAUGGUUCAAUAGUGAAAGACGGUUUUGCUGUCACUUAUAGAUGGAUCCGCGCCGCAUUAGCUAGUUGGUAAGGUAACGGCUUACCAAGGCAACGAUGCGUAGCCGACCUGAGAGGGUGAUCGGCCACACUGGAACUGAGACACGGUCCAGACUCCUACGGGAGGCAGCAGUAGGGAAUCUUCCGCAAUGGGCGAAAGCCUGACGGAGCAACGCCGCGUGAGUGAUGAAGGUCUUCGGAUCGUAAAACUCUGUUAUUAGGGAAGAACAAAUGUGUAAGUAACUAUGCACGUCUUGACGGUACCUAAUCAGAAAGCCACGGCUAACUACGUG